This 1959-nucleotide long non-coding RNA is filed under the name Homo sapiens (human). RNAcentral describes it as "HSALNT0311471". The record is from RNAcentral. Lineage: Eukaryota; Metazoa; Chordata; Mammalia; Primates; Hominidae.
ACCACACAAAUUUAUUAUUUCACAGUUUCUGUAGGUUAGAAGUCCAAGGUUGGCCUAGCUAAUUUGUCAGUGUCUUACAUGGCUGAAGUCAAGGUGUCAGAAGGAGUUGCUAUCUCAUCUGAUGCAUGGGAUCCUUUUCCAAGCUCACUCAGGUUGUUAGCAGAAGUUAGUCCCCUGUAGUUCUAGGACUGUGGUCUCCAUUUUCUUGCUGGCUAAUGACUUGGUUGGUUGUCAGCUCCUAGAUUUUUCUCCCUAUUCUGGAGUUCAGGUAUGUUACCCAGCUGGGUCUAACGAUGUGUCUUCGUCCAUUUUGUGUUGUUAUUGCAUAAUACCACAACCAUCCACCGCCAUGUUGUUCUCUCCAAAGCACAGUGGUUUUGUCAGAGGCGUUUGAACAAGAGCAACUCCAUCUUAAAUAGGAGCUGGGUGAAAUAAGGCUGAAACCAACUGCUGCAUUCCCAGAUGGUUAAGGCAUUCUAAGUCACAGGAUGAGAUAGGAGGUCAGCACAAGAUACAGGGUCAUAAAGACCCUGCUGAUAGAACAGGUUACAGUAAAAAAGGUGGUCCAAACCCACCAAAACCAAGAUGAUGAUGAAAGUGACCUCUGGAUGUCCUCACUGCUACACUCCCACCAGCGCCAUGACAGUUUACAGAUGCCACGGCAAUGCCAGGAAGUUACCCUAUAUGGCCUAGAAAGGGGAGGCAUAAAUAACCCACCCCUUGUUUAGCACAUCAUCAAGAAAUAACCAUAAAAACGGGCAACCAGCAGCCCUGGGGACUGCUGUGUCUGUGGAGUAGCCAUUCUUUUAUUCCUUUACUUUCUUAAUAAACUUGCUUUUGCUUUGUGCUGUGGACUCGCCCUGAAUUCUUUCUUGCAUGAGAUCCAAGAACCCUCUCUUGGGGUCUGGAUCGGGACCCUUUCCUGUAACAUCUUUCUGGUGGCCACUGAAGGGACUAAAGUGAGGAAACCCCCAACUCAAAGGUUAACUUUGCAUAAGUGUUGGGGUCCUGUAACAUCUUUCUGGUGACCACGGAAGCGACUAUAGUGAGGAAACCCCUGACCCAAAGGCUAACUUUGGGUAAGUGGUGGGAUCCAGUAACAUCUUUCUGGUGAACCACAGAAGGGAUGAUACUGAGGAGAACCCCCCAACCCAAAGGAAAUAGACUUCAGCACUGAUUGGAUGACUUUGGAGUCAAGGAAACUUUUCAGCUAUUUACAGCUUUUAACAAUUGAGUAAAGCAUACUCCUGUGAACAAAAUUUGGAACAUAUUUGUUUCUCUCUACCUGAUUUCUCCACAAUUUGGAAACUAUGUAUAUCACCUUUUGUUGGACUCAAGAGUUAUGAAUGGCCCUCACCAUACUGAUGCUUUCUGACUGAGCUCCUCACUACCCUGAACACAAGAGGGAGGAAUAUCAUCGCCCCUAUUCAGCCUGGAGAAGUUACAAAAGAUGGAUCUUCGUCCCUCUGCAACCCUUAGGAUUAAUGGUUCUCCUAUAAAAGGGAUGGGGGGAAAAUGUCAGAGGCAUUUGAACAAGAGCAACUCCAUCUUAAAGAGGAGCUGGGUAAAAUAAGGCUGAAACCUACUGGGCUGCAUUCCCAGAUGGUUAAGGCAUUCUAAGUCACAGGAUGAGAUGGGAGGUUGGCACAAAAUACAGGUCAUAAAGACCCUGCUGAUAAAACAGGUUGCAGUAAAGAAGCUGGCCAAAACCCACCAAAACCAAGAUGGCAAUGAGACUGACCUCUGGUCGUCCUCACUGCUACACUCCCAUCAGUGCCAUGACAGUUUACAGAUGCCAUGGCAACAUCAGGAAGUUACCCUAUAUGGCCUAGAAAGGGGAGGCAUGAAUAAUCCACCUCUUGUUUAGCAUAUCAUCAAGAAAUAACCAUAAAAAUGGACAACCAGCAGCCCUGGGGACUGCUGUGCCUGUGGAGUAGCCAUUCUUUUAUUCCUUUACUU